UACGUAGGGAGCGAGCGUUGUCCGGAAUUACUGGGUGUAAAGGGAGCGUAGGCGGGCGAGAAAGUUGAAUGUUAAAUCUACCGGCUUAACUGGUAGCUGCGUUCAAAACUUCUUGUCUUGAGUGAAGUAGAGGCAGGCGGAAUUCCUAGUGUAGCGGUGAAAUGCGUAGAUAUUAGGAGGAACACCAGUGGCGAAGGCGACUUACUGGACUGUAACUGACGCUGAGGCAUGAGAGCAUGGGGAGCAAGCAGG
This 252-nucleotide ribosomal RNA is filed under the name uncultured bacterium. RNAcentral's name for it is "partial 16S ribosomal RNA". It matches the Rfam family "Bacterial small subunit ribosomal RNA", at positions 524 to 776 of the family's 1533-position model. The record is from RNAcentral.